UGGGGAAUUUUGGACAAUGGGGGAAACCCUGAUCCAGCCAUCCCGCGUGUGCGAUGAAGGCCUUCGGGUUGUAAAGCACUUUUGGCAGGAAAGAAACGUCAUGGGUUAAUACCCCGUGAAACUGACGGUACCUGCAGAAUAAGCACCGGCUAACUACGUGCCAGCAGCCGCGGUAAUACGUAGGGUGCAAGCGUUAAUCGGAAUUACUGGGCGUAAAGCGUGCGCAGGCGGUUCGGAAAGAAAGAUGUGAAAUCGCAGGGCUCAACUUUGGAACUGCAUUUUUAACUACCGGGCUAGGGUGUGUCAGAGGGAGGUGGAAUUCCGCGUGUAGCAGUGAAAUGCGUAGCUAUGCGGAGGAACACCGAUGGCGAAGGCAGCCUCCUGGGAUAACACUGACGCUCAUGCACGAAAGCGUGGGGAGCAAACAGG
This 429-nucleotide ribosomal RNA is filed under the name Acidobacteriota bacterium. RNAcentral describes it as "Acidobacteria bacterium partial 16S ribosomal RNA". It matches the Rfam family "Bacterial small subunit ribosomal RNA", at positions 355 to 776 of the family's 1533-position model. Lineage: Bacteria; Pseudomonadati; Acidobacteriota. The record is from RNAcentral.